Molecule: ribosomal RNA, 468 nt
Filed under: uncultured bacterium
Lineage: Bacteria
Description: bacterial SSU rRNA
Rfam family: Bacterial small subunit ribosomal RNA
Source: RNAcentral
CGCCAGACUCCUACGGGAGGCAGCAGUGAGGCCUCUUGGUCAAUGGCCGGCAGGCUGACCCCGCCAAGCCGCGUGCCGGACGAAGGUGCCCCGCAUUGUACCCUUCUUUUGUCACGGGCCCAAAUCAGGCUCGCGAGCCUGACCGAGGGUACUUGAAGAAAAAGCAUCGGCUCACUCCGUGCCAGCAGCCGCGGUAAUACGGAGGAUGCGAGCGUUAUCCGGAUUUAUUGGGUUUAAAGGGUGCGUAGGCGGGACGGUUACUGCGUGGGUAAAUGCGCGGGGCUCACCCCCGGCGAGCCGUUGAAACUGGCUGUCUUGAGAUGUCGAGAGGUAUGCGGAAUGCGCAGUGUAGCGGUGAAAUGCUGAGAUAUUGCGCAGAACUCCGAUUGCGAAGGCAGCAUACCGGCGGCGAUCUGACGCUGAGGCACGAAAGCGUGGGUAUCGAACAGGAUUAGAUACCCUGGUAAC